Molecule: long non-coding RNA, 193 nt
Organism: Daphnia pulicaria
Lineage: Eukaryota; Metazoa; Arthropoda; Branchiopoda; Diplostraca; Daphniidae
Exons: 3
Source: RefSeq, a predicted model, not a curated record
GCUAGAUGGCGGAAAUCAAUCACGCAAUUUCACGAAAAGUAGGAACUAGGUCCGUAUGCAAAUUUGUUUAGAACUUGAAUUUAUGGCGUGCGUUCCACCAAUCCACACUUGGUGUUCGGUUUCGUUCGCAGAAGGAGCAUUAUUAGCUAUAGCCAACGUCGGAUUAAAAGUAAAAAACGCGAAUGUUUUUGUG